Molecule: unclassified non-coding RNA, 198 nt
Filed under: uncultured fungus
Lineage: Eukaryota; Fungi
Description: sequence contains ITS1
Source: RNAcentral
UUUAUUCAUUGAUCUUAAACUCAGACUGUACAGUUCGAGGCAGAUUUUAAAGGCCUUUGGCGGGCGCUGUCCAGCUCUAGCGCCAGCGGUCAGAGACCGGCCCGCCAAAGCAACAUUUGACAAGUCAACAUAGGGUGGGAGUAGGGACCAGAGGCCCCGGACUCGGUAAUGAUCCUUCCGCAGGUUCACCUACGGAAA